RNAcentral lists this ribosomal RNA (378 nucleotides) under uncultured Lactobacillus sp. Its description in RNAcentral is "bacterial SSU rRNA". It matches the Rfam family "Bacterial small subunit ribosomal RNA", at positions 166 to 524 of the family's 1533-position model. Lineage: Bacteria; Bacillati; Bacillota; Bacilli; Lactobacillales; Lactobacillaceae. The record is from RNAcentral.
UACCCGGAUAACAACAGAUGAUGCCUAUCAACUGUUUAAAGAUGGUUCUGCUAUCACUCUUGGGAUGGACCUGCGGUGCAUUAGCUAGUUGGUAGGGGUAACGGGCCUACCCAAGGCGAUGAUGCAUAGCCCGAGUUGAGAGACUGAUCGGGCCACAUUGGGACUGAGACACGGCCCAAAACUCCUACGGGGAGGCAGCAGUAGGGAAUCUUCCACAAUGGACGCAAGUCUGAUGGAGCAACGCCGCGUGAGUGAAGAAGGGUUUCGGCUCGUAAAGCUCUGUUGUUGGUGAAGAAGGACAGGGGUAGUAACUGUACCUUUGUUUGACGGUAAUCAAUUAGAAAGUCACGGCUAACUACGUGCCAGCACCGCGGUAAU